AUCCAAUCAGGCGUGAGUCUGGACCUGCUUUUCUACUGAACUCACAAGUUCAUUACCUCACUAUCACUUUGUCUAAACAGGAACGAUGAUCACACUCUUUGUCGCGCUUUACUCUCUUUUUUCUCUCUGCACAGCUGGAAAAACUUCUGACAUCAAGGAGCUUCAUGUGAAAACAGUAAAGCGUGGAGAAAAUGUAACUAUGGAGUGUAACAUGAGCAAGGGCAAAGACAAAGAUAAGUUAGCUUGGUACAGACAGAGUUUUGGAAAAGUGCCUCAGUUUUUUGUAAGAUAUUACGGGUCUAAUAGCUACACAUUUGCUGAUGAAUUUAAAGAUAGCCGCUUCAGUAUGACUGUAAAUGACCAGAAGUUUGAUCUCAACAUUAUCGGAACGAGAGAAGAUGAUGGAGGAGAAUAUUUAUGUGGAGAAGUGGAGGGAACUGCACUAAAGUUCACAUCUGGAACACGUCUGCAAUUUGAAGGUGAAGAGAUGAAACACUGUCCUACACCUGGAACGGUUAACAACAACACAGAUUCUGUUACAGGGUCCGAUGAGGGUUCAAAGAGCAGUGAUGGAAAAGGUUCCAGUUGUACUGAUCAGAUGCAUGUGCUGGUCUGGCUCUCCAUUUUUAGAGUUGGAGUUCUUGCCUUCAUGCUUCUUAUCUUUCCAAUAAUCCUGAUUGUUUUCAAAUUAAGAUCAAAUUAGAAAUUCAGAUACAAAUGGAAGAAAUACUGAUUUAAGGAGAAAACAGUGUGUUAGAUUUAACUAGAGCUACUUGCUUAUAUUGUCCGUAUAUUGGAAUGAUUUUGGUCUAACUGUAAUGUGGAGGUAUUUACCAGCCGUACUUACAGCUGCAUUUAAGGACUCCUGAGAGGCGCAGUACAAAAUCGUUCUCCCUAUUGU
Non-coding RNA from Ictalurus furcatus (blue catfish), 901 nucleotides. NCBI's taxonomy places the organism in Eukaryota, Metazoa, Chordata, Actinopteri, Siluriformes, Ictaluridae. The record is from the annotation of a RefSeq genome assembly.